This 292-nucleotide ribosomal RNA is filed under the name uncultured bacterium. RNAcentral's name for it is "partial 16S ribosomal RNA". It matches the Rfam family "Bacterial small subunit ribosomal RNA", at positions 505 to 796 of the family's 1533-position model. The record is from RNAcentral.
GUGUCAGCCGCCGCGGUAAUACGUAGGGUGCGAGCGUUGUCCGGAAUUACUGGGCGUAAAGAGCUCGUAGGUGGUUUGUCGCGUUGUUCGUGAAAACCGGAGGCUCAACCUCUGGCGUGCGGGCGAUACGGGCAGACUUGAGUACUGCAGGGGAGACUGGAAUUCCUGGUGUAGCGGUGGAAUGCGCAGAUAUCAGGAGGAACACCGGUGGCGAAGGCGGGUCUCUGGGCAGUAACUGACGCUGAGGAGCGAAAGCGUGGGGAGCGAACAGGAUUAGAUACCCGAGUAGUCC